RNAcentral lists this ribosomal RNA (253 nucleotides) under uncultured bacterium. Its description in RNAcentral is "partial 16S ribosomal RNA". It matches the Rfam family "Bacterial small subunit ribosomal RNA", at positions 524 to 776 of the family's 1533-position model. The record is from RNAcentral.
UACAGAGGCCCCAAGCGUUACUGAGAAUCACUGGGUUUAAAGGGUGCGUAGGUGGCGCGUUAAGUCCGUUGUGAAAUCCCUUGGCUCAACCAAGGAAUGGCUUCGGAUACUGGCGUGCUUGAGGCCGGUAAGGGUCACUGGAACUGACGGUGGAGCGGUGAAAUGCGUAGAUAUCGUCAGGAACGCCAAUGGUGAAGACAGGUGACUGGGCCGGUUCUGACACUGAGGCACGAAGGCGUGGGGAGCGAACGGG